CAAGACUUCGUUGGGAAAGGACUUCAUCAAGAGUUGGGAAGACGAAGAUCGAGAAAAUGGUUGGAGUAAUCAGGAACGAGCAUGGACCAGUUCGUAUUAUGGGAAAUCAGAGUGUUAUUAUAGAGCAACAGUAAGAGAUGAUCCAGCGAUCAUUCAACUGAAGACGAUUGUGGAGGCCUUGAGGAGCACACUUAAGGAACGAUUGUGGACAGCGUAAAGAUAUAUGGAGACGAGUGGAGAAUGUCGCGAAGAUGAGCAAUUGCGCAACUAAGAAUUCGAUGACGAAUUCUAUUAGGGGGGGGAAGAAUGUAGAAACCCGUUAAAAAAAAAAAAAAGAACGAAAAUGGUCGAGUAUCAUUGUGGUGGUCGAGUUGCGGGUGAUAAUGAUCGAUCGAGAAGUUUUGAAGUACGAGGUGGGCGAAGAAGUUAUCAUGGGUGAACUAUGAGUCGAAUAAGUUGCUCAACAACAGUUAGAAGAUGUCUUAGAUUGAUCAGACGAACGUUUUGGAAGCACAACUUUUUUGGAAGCAUGACGUUUCAGAAGCUCGACGUUUUUGAAGACCAACGUUUCUUCAUCACGAAGUUUUCUCGGAAAAUCUUCGUAUCAGUAAAAUAUUAUUCUGGAGACAUAAUAAGUUUGAAGCAGGACGGGAAUUAAGCACGACGGGAAGCAAGCACGACAGGAUCAAAGCACGACGGGAAAACCCGAAGUUGGGCGAAAACCCUAAUUUCGGUAUUAUGGAUUUCUUUGAGGAAGCCGGAGGCUCGGGAAAUAUUUUUACAGGAUAGCAGAAUUCAUCUGGAGUCUAUUAAAAAUAUUU
Molecule: long non-coding RNA, 821 nt
Filed under: Brassica napus (rape)
Lineage: Eukaryota; Viridiplantae; Streptophyta; Magnoliopsida; Brassicales; Brassicaceae
Description: long non-coding RNA (BNAP_LNC024389)
Source: RNAcentral